UUCCGGUUGAUCCUGCCGGACCCGACUGCUAUUUGGGUGAGGAUAAGCCAUGCGAGUUGAAUGGGAAACCUAAAAAUCCCAUGGCAAACUGCUCAGUAACACAUGAUCAACUUGCCCUAUAGAGGAAAAUAACCUCGGGAAACUGAGGAUAAUGUUCCAUAGUUGAAUCGGCUUGGAAAAGUUUUUCAAUAAAAGGGAUAAGGAAAAUGGUCCUUAUCUGCUAUAGGAUAGGAUCGUGCUCGAUUAUGGUUGUUGGUGAGGUAAAGGCUCACCAAGCCGAUAAUCGAUAGGGGCCGUGAGAGCGGGAGCCCCGAGAUGGGUACUGAGACAACGACCCAGGCCUUAUGAGGCGCAGCAGGCGCGAAACCUCCGCAAUACACGAAAGUGUGACGGGGUUACCCAAAGUGUUCUAUUUAGAACUGUGGUAGGUGAGUAAUGUUCCCUACUAGAAAGGAGAGGGCAAGGCUGGUGCCAGCCGCCGCGGUAAAACCAGCUCUUCGAGUGGUCAGGACGAAUAUUGGGUCUAAAGCGCUCGUAGCCGGACAAGUAGGUUCUCGGUUAAAUCCGACAGCAUAACUGUUGGUCUGCUGGGAAUACCGCUAGUCUUGGAAGCGGGAGAGGACAGAGGUAGUCAUAGGGCAGGGGUGAAAUCCAGUGAUCCUAUGGCGACCACCGAUGGCGAAGGCAUCUGUCUGGAACGUAUUCGACGGUGAGGGGCGAAAGCUAGGGGAGCGACCCGGAUUAGAUACCCGGUUAGUCCUAGCCGUAAACGAUGCGGACUAGGUGUUACAGCGGCCAAGAGCCACUGUAGUGCCACAGCGAAGGCGUUAAGUCCGCCACCUGGGGAGUACGGAUGCAAGUCUGAAACUUAAAGGAAUUGACGGGGGCGCACCACCAGGAGUGAAGCCUGCGGUUUAAUUGGAUUCAACGCCGGA
This 935-nucleotide ribosomal RNA is filed under the name uncultured archaeon. RNAcentral describes it as "bacterial SSU rRNA". It matches the Rfam family "Archaeal small subunit ribosomal RNA", at positions 1 to 922 of the family's 1478-position model. The record is from RNAcentral.